AAGAAAAGCAUUUGCUAUUGCUUUUGUUGUUUCUCCCAAAAAAAAAAUCACAGUGUUAAUCAAGGGCCUGAAUUCAGUGAUUUUGUUGAUAUGCCUCUUAAUAUCUUUGAACAGGGAUUUUGGGACCUAAUCAUGGCUUAAACUUGUUAGAUGAUAAUUGGAUGUAUAUGCUCAACCUUUUUCCUGUUCCAUGCAGAAGGAACUCAUUUCUAGAAUUCGAAAUCCAUUUAUUGUAGAG
Molecule: unclassified non-coding RNA, 238 nt
Filed under: Hevea brasiliensis (rubber tree)
Lineage: Eukaryota; Viridiplantae; Streptophyta; Magnoliopsida; Malpighiales; Euphorbiaceae
Source: RNAcentral